CAGAGGAGUUCAUUCUAGUGCCACUCAUAUAAGAAGGGGGAGGAUGUCUACUCAGCAUGCAUUAAUAUGCGGCACAUAGCAACGUGUCUGAAUGCCAGUCUUCAAUUCUUCAUUACACAAAAUGGCUGGAUUGCAGUGAUUGUUUUCGUCUGCAUACACACACACUCUCAAGGCAUUUUCUCUUCCAGCCUAGGCUUAUCAGUGUAGUGGCAUGUGUGUGAAGUUGUCUGUGGCAUGCAUGAUGCACAAGGGGAUUCCUGCCAAACAUCAAGGCCUUUUUUUUUUAAUGCCAUAGAUCAACAAGUGGCAAAAUCAAUGGUGUACAGUUAUUCAGCAGUGUAAUUCAUUUCACUGGCUUUGGCUGGUAGCCAGAUCCGCCAUCUGUCUUUCGCUGUGCCUUCUCUCUCGCUUGAAUUUGUCCUACAUUUUGUUAUGAUAUGUGCUUGCCAUCUUUAUUGCGCGACAGAGCAUUAAGAUGGAUCUGUCUCACAAGGGAACAUUUCCUGCCUCAUUAGAGUAUCUUCGUUUUCUUUAUUGGAGACUGGCACCAUACGCCACUGCACAGCUCAUGGAAUGCCUGCUGUUGGAUACUUGCAUAUCUCUGCCACCAAGCAAUCUCUUGCAAUGGAAAUAGGGUGACUUCACCAGGAUCUUAUGCGUGCUUGCUGUUUGAAUCUGCAGAAAAGUGAAUAAUCAAUUAAGUAUUGAUUUCUUGUACGAUUUGGUAAAUUUCAAAAGCAAGACAAAGAGGAUGGCUUAAAGGAAAGCACUGCAGGGACUUGGCGUAAAUUAAACAACUAACAGCAGUGAAGAAUAAAAUAACACCUCAACUGAAUAUUUCCUUGGAAGAAUUAAUACCAGCUAUUGGAAGACAAUGGUGGAUUUAAUCAAACCGGCAAGCGACCGAGCAUUUUAACUAUGAGACUGGAAAAGGAGCUAAUUAUACCCACCUCUUUUAAUGGAGUUAAUUUGACUGAAUGGAUGCAAAUGUGCUUUAUUUAUGGAUGACAAAACAAGCCUUCCAGCAUCGAAGUCGGAAUUAUCACAUAUGUUAAGCAUCAAAACCCUUUUUUUAAAAAAAAAGUCAAACAACAGUAUAUUUUUUUCUGAACAGGUAUUUAUAUAUGAACAGAAGCUUAAGAUGAAUAUUAUUCAUUUACAGACUGCUUUAUUAGAUAUGUGCUUUAAUGAUCUUUUAACAGCGUGCUAUGAAGGAUAAUUUAUAGGAUGUUAUAUCUAACAAUAAAUGUGUAUAUAGUGA
Xenopus laevis (African clawed frog) is the source of this 1261-nucleotide long non-coding RNA. RefSeq lists it as uncharacterized. Lineage: Eukaryota; Metazoa; Chordata; Amphibia; Anura; Pipidae. The record is from RefSeq and is a predicted model, not a curated record. The transcript is spliced from 2 exons.